This is a long non-coding RNA of Gopherus flavomarginatus (Mexican gopher tortoise), 1379 nucleotides long. RefSeq lists it as uncharacterized. The record is from RefSeq and is a predicted model, not a curated record. The transcript has 2 exons. Lineage: Eukaryota; Metazoa; Chordata; Testudines; Testudinidae.
CUGGCCUCACUGCCCCCCCACCUCCAGGAGGGACCUAACUGAGGGGGUCCUGUUGUCUGUGCCUGCAAGACCUUUCUUGGACUGUGUUCCUGUCGUCUAAAUAAACCUGCUUUACUGGCUGACUGAGAGUCACGGUGAAUCUCAGGAAGCCGGGGGUGCAGGGCCUUGUCUCCCCCACCCUCUGUGACACUCUGCCUUUGGGAUUCUUAUCGCAGGGCGUGGUCAGUGUAGCGCUGGCAAUCAGAAGACUCAGCAUGUGACCUCAGGGCAAGUCAUGCCCUGGUGCUGUGCCUCAGUUUACCCAGCUGUCCAGUGUGGAUAAUCCUGACAGCCGCAGGAAGACAGGAGCAGGAGGUGUCGAGGGCAGUUUGCUGAUGUUUGAAAAGAACUUUGGGAUCCCAACCUGGAGGGGGCUAAAGAGAGUGAAGGAUGAUUAGUAGCUAUUAUUAGAGUGUAGGGGAAAGAUCUUAGAGUCCUCGGUUCCCUAAUGUUGAGCAUGAGAAAGAAAAAAAGAAAGAAAACCUAGAUGGGGGUGUAUGGAGUUAGAUUCCCCAACCACCCCCAGUCCUCCCUGCCCUGAUCCUGUCGGCCAUGCCUAGCCCUGGUACUUGGUUACCAUGUGGUCCUAGCCAAUGCAGCUGCUGGUUGUUUUAGUUGCCUCAGCUGUUUCCUGCUCCCCCCCCCCACCAUCACCCAGAGCACAGAGCUGUCCCAACCCAGCUCCAUCCACUGUUUGCCCCCUUCCCACCUCCCCUGCAGCAGCUGGGGGAGGGUUUAACUCAAGCCCUCAGGUCGCUGCUGUGGCCCUAGCAUGGGCCAGCCAAGACCCCAUAUCUCCUACUUGGAAACAGCUGAGCCUUUUAGCUGAAGCUUUUCCAAAAUAUGCAGCUGGAGGCUGGAACCAGCCCAAACCGGUUCAAUUAUGGUCAAGUGACAAGCAAGAUCUUAUCCUAGGACAUGCCAGGGAAUGCUAACUCCAGGCAGUGCUACCAGUUCUGAUGCUCCAGGGGAAUGAUACUCAGCUCCUUGGUAAAGUGCUCUAGAUCUACGGAUGAAACGUGCUAGGUUCCUCGCUGAUGCUCAGCUCUCGCAGGUACUGCUUUCACCAUCUCUGGCUGGCUCGGAGACUGCGUCCCACCUGGCAGGCAAUGCCCUGGCAGUGGUGCUACCGGCCAGCAUCUCCUCCCACCUGGGCUCCGGCACUGCCAUAGAUCUGGGCAUGAAGCCCUUGGAGAGCUCCAGGGGGUUCCGAACACUGCACCACAGGCUUCCGUGAGCAGGUCCCGCUGUUGCCAACCUCAAGAGAGCAAAAAACAUGAGUCAGACCCCAAAACAUCAGCAGAUUGGCUCAAAAAACAUGGAAUAUUUUUGUUUUUAAA